UAUCUGAGAUCUUACCCGUCAUUGG
RNAcentral lists this unclassified non-coding RNA (25 nucleotides) under Mus musculus (house mouse). Its description in RNAcentral is "oocyte_clustered_small_RNA2008". Lineage: Eukaryota; Metazoa; Chordata; Mammalia; Rodentia; Muridae. The record is from RNAcentral.